This is a non-coding RNA of Bufo gargarizans (Asiatic toad), 399 nucleotides long. RefSeq annotates it as small Cajal body-specific RNA 2. Lineage: Eukaryota; Metazoa; Chordata; Amphibia; Anura; Bufonidae. The transcript has a single exon. The record is from RefSeq and is a predicted model, not a curated record.
GUAUAUGUGUGUGAGAGAGAGAGAGCGCCUGUGUGUAUGAGAGAGAGAGCCUGUGUGUAUGAGAGAGUACGUAUGUGUGUGAGAGAGAGAGAGCGCGCGCCUGUGUGUAUGAGAGAGCGAGCGUGUGUGUAUGAGAGAGAGAGCGUGUGUAUAUGUGAGAGCGCGCCUGUGUGUUCUGGUCCUUUUCUACUACAUACACAUUGAUCUUAUUUGAUCGCCCCGGGUGUUGGCACCUGCGCCCGUGGGUGACAUGAGAAUACCCCUCUGGCUAUGCCCCCUGGUUGCGGGGCUGUGUGCCCGGAGACUGGCAGUACAGGCCGCCGCUGUGGAAGUGAUGAAUUGAUCAGAUAUACUAAACUGCGUCAGCGGUUUAUGAGUAUACAGGCGAUUCUGAUCCGC